GAUGAACGCUGGCGGCAUGCCUAAUACAUGCAAGUCGAACGAAGUGAAGAUAGCUUGCUAUUGGAUCUUAGUGGCGAACGGGUGAGUAACACGUAGGUAACCUGCCCAUAUGACUGGGAUAACUAUUGGAAACGAUAGCUAAUACCGGAUAGGUGAAGCGAAGGCAUCUUCGCUUCAUUAAAGUCGGGAUACGACACAUAUGGAUGGACCUGCGGCGCAUUAGCUAGUUGGUGAGGUAACGGCUCACCAAGGCGAUGAUGCGUAGCCGACCUGAGAGGGUGAUCAGGCACACUGGAACUGAGACACGGUCCAGACUCCUACGGGAGGCAGCAGUGGGGAAUAUUGCACAAUGGAGGAAACUCUGAUGCAGCAACGCCGCGUGGAGGAUGACGCAUUUCGGUGUGUAAACUCCUUUUAUAAGGGAAGAUAAUGACGGUACCUUAUGAAUAAGCACCGGCUAACUCCGCGCCAG
RNAcentral lists this ribosomal RNA (472 nucleotides) under uncultured bacterium. RNAcentral describes it as "bacterial SSU rRNA". It matches the Rfam family "Bacterial small subunit ribosomal RNA", at positions 28 to 511 of the family's 1533-position model. The record is from RNAcentral.